Molecule: ribosomal RNA, 148 nt
Filed under: Vibrio parahaemolyticus
Lineage: Bacteria; Pseudomonadati; Pseudomonadota; Gammaproteobacteria; Vibrionales; Vibrionaceae
Description: partial 23S ribosomal RNA
Rfam family: Bacterial large subunit ribosomal RNA (bases 1-130)
Source: RNAcentral
GAGAUGAGUCUUCCCUGAUACUUUAAGUAUCCUAAAGGGUUGUCGGAGACUACGACGUUGAUAGGUCAGGUGUGUAAGUGCUGUGAGGCAUUGAGCUAACUGAUACUAAUUGCCCGUGAGGCUUAACCAUACAACACCCAAGGGGUUU